RNAcentral lists this long non-coding RNA (1519 nucleotides) under Gallus gallus (chicken). The record is from RNAcentral. Lineage: Eukaryota; Metazoa; Chordata; Aves; Galliformes; Phasianidae.
AUUUAACCAAACCUUACAACAAUCAGGGGUUUUGGUAUUGAUUCAACAGAUACUGUGGCAGCCCAUCCCUAAACGACAAAUUGCUUAGCACCAUAAAUAUAUAUAUAUAUUCCUUUAUACACAGAGGCAUGCAUUCUUCACGCUUUACCAUGUGUUGACACAUCAUAUAUAUUUUCUCUGCACUGAAUAAUGCAGCUACCACUCAUUUCCCCUCACAUCUGCCUGUAAAUUCCAUGCUUUUGCCAUAUGUAUUUUGUUAUGGCUAGAAAAAUAGCCUUACCUUUACAGUUCCAGGUUCUGUCUUCCUUGGGAAAUGUGGUGUGUUCAUGGUUAAAUCAUUCUGAGUGAAUCCGUAAGAGACACAUUUCCAAUCAAGAUGACACAGUUUGUGGUUUUCUUAUCAGUUAAUUGGUCAAAUUUGUGUUUAUAUUUCAUGGUUUUGCAGCAGAAUGUAAAUCUGAUAUAGGAAGAUUAUAGUUACUGUGAAAGGUCAGCCAGUGGUACCGUGGCUGUAUUGUUAGCAAUUCUAGAGAUAGAUUGUUAAAACCUGUCUUAAAUAUUCUUAGACUAUGCUACAGAUUUGUGACGUAUUCAAAGACAUAACAUAUGUUGUUAAACGUAUCUCAAACAAACAAACAAACAAACAAAAAAACGCAAUAAGUUUUCCAGUAUCUAUUUCUGUGCAGCCUAGGCUAUAAGCACACCCUGAAAGCCACAGCUCUAGGGGAAGAGUGUACAACCUUUUGGCUUGCCUGGACCGCAUUGAUUAAAGAGGAAUAGUUUUGGGCCACAUUGGUUGCUUCGAAAGUAAUGCCUCCUAUUUAUUUCAAUGGAAAUGAAAAUUAAUACAAAGACCACAAGAGCACUGUCUCAUAGGGCAGAUUUUCAGCUACAAAACUCUAUUUUUCAAUAUAGUCACCACCAUUAGCUAUGUGUUUUCACCAGUGAUGAACAAGAAACAUCACUCUGCAGUCAUAAAAAUCUGCACCAGCAGGGGUGACUCAGUGUCACCACUGUUGAAAUAUACCAUCCACCACGUCACUGUGCUUACAUCCACUGUUUGGUCCCCAUAAAUAUUUAGCAAGAAUCGAUGAAUGUCAUUGGAUGCCAUUUUUUCCACAUGAAGGAACUGAAUGACGCACCUUUUGCUUCAUAGGCACUUCUAUGUCAGAUCCCAUUUUUUCAGACUGCCCCUCCAUGGUGAAGAGCUGCUGCCUUUAUAGUGUGGGGAAGGGGCCAGUCUCAUUGCCAGUUGUGCUGGGCCAUGGAUCAGCCAUGCCUACUCUGGAGCAUGAAAUUUGACAACUCUGACAGCAGAGCUCAGCUGAGGUUAUUUGAGCCCCAUUCUGCAUUGUUUGACGUGUAAGAACAGUGGUGUUUCUGAGUUUGGCACAUCGUCCUGUCCAGGUUGCUGGCUUCACAACAUUAAGUCUGGACUUGCUAAGUGCUUCUGUUCAGCUCUGGUUCAAAGCUUUGGCACUUUUCUGUAGGAAGCACUCCUGUUACAUGGGAAUCCAAG